UUUCAGGCUCUUUUAAGAGCCGCCCAUAUUCUCAUUUAAAGAGCUG
This is a non-coding RNA of Felis catus (domestic cat), 46 nucleotides long. The record is from Rfam. Lineage: Eukaryota; Metazoa; Chordata; Mammalia; Carnivora; Felidae.